GACGAACGCUGGCGGCGUGCUUAACACAUGCAAGUCGAGCGGUAAGGCCCUUUCGGGGGUACGACGAGCGGCGAACGGGUGAGUAACACGUGGGUGACCUGCCCUCAGCUCUGGGAUAAGCCUGGGAAACCGGGGUCUAAUACCGGAUAUGACUCCAUGACGCAUGUUGUGGGGUGGAAAGCCUUGUGCGGCUGAGGAUGGGCCCGCGGCCUAUCAGCUUGUUGGUGGGGUGAUGGCCUACCAAGGCGACGACGGGUAGCCGGCCUGAGAGGGCGACCGGCCACACUGGGACUGAGACACGGCCCAGACUCCUACGGGAGGCAGCAGUGGGGAAGUCUUGCGCAAUGGGCGAAAGCCUGACGCAGCGACGCCGCGUGAGGGAUGACGGCCU
Molecule: ribosomal RNA, 391 nt
Filed under: uncultured bacterium
Lineage: Bacteria
Description: bacterial SSU rRNA
Rfam family: Bacterial small subunit ribosomal RNA
Source: RNAcentral